RNAcentral lists this transfer RNA (87 nucleotides) under Thermoleophilia bacterium. RNAcentral describes it as "tRNA-Leu". It matches the Rfam family "tRNA". Rfam says of the family: Transfer RNA (tRNA) molecules are approximately 80 nucleotides in length. Their secondary structure includes four short double-helical elements and three loops (D, anti-codon, and T loops). Further hydrogen bonds mediate the characteristic L-shaped molecular structure. tRNAs have two regions of fundamental functional importance: the anti-codon, which is responsible for specific mRNA codon recognition, and the 3' end, to which the tRNAs corresponding amino acid is attached (by aminoacyl-tRNA synthetases). tRNAs cope with the degeneracy of the genetic code in two manners: having more than one tRNA (with a specific anti-codon) for a particular amino acid; and 'wobble' base-pairing, i.e. permitting non-standard base-pairing at the 3rd anti-codon position. Lineage: Bacteria; Bacillati; Actinomycetota; Thermoleophilia. The record is from RNAcentral. RNAcentral also lists the same sequence under 1 other name.
GGGCGAGUGGCGGAAUUGGCAGACGCGCUAGGUUCAGGGUCUAGUGCACGUACGUGCAUGCGGGUUCAAGUCCCGCCUCGCCCACCA